This 472-nucleotide ribosomal RNA is filed under the name uncultured bacterium. Its description in RNAcentral is "bacterial SSU rRNA". It matches the Rfam family "Bacterial small subunit ribosomal RNA", at positions 355 to 825 of the family's 1533-position model. The record is from RNAcentral.
UGGGGAAUUUUGGACAAUGGGGGCAACCCUGAUCCAGCCAUGCCGCGUGAGUGAAGAAGGCCUUCGGGUUGUAAAGCUCUUUCGGACGGAACGAAAUGGUCAGGGUGAAUAUCCCUGACUGAUGACGGUACUGUAAGAAGAAGCACCGGCUAACUACGUGCCAGCAGCCGCGGUAAUACGUAGGGUGCGAGCGUUAAUCGGAAUUACUGGGCAUAAAGCGCGCGUAGGCGGCUGGGUCCGUCCGAUGUGAAAGCCCCCGGCUCAACCGGGGAAUGGCAUCGGAUACAGCCCGGCUUGAGGACGGUUGGGGUGAGUGGAACUCCUGGUGGAGCGGUGAAAUGCGUAGAUAUCAGGAGGAACACCGGUGGCGAAAGCGGCUCACUGGACCGUUACUGACGCUGAGGUGCGAAAGCUAGGGGAGCAAACGGGAUUAGAUACCCAUGUAGUCCCUGAGCGGGCUGGCAAGGCGCAU